RNAcentral lists this long non-coding RNA (1126 nucleotides) under Salmo salar (Atlantic salmon). RNAcentral describes it as "lncRNA (ENSSSAG00000111703.1)". Lineage: Eukaryota; Metazoa; Chordata; Actinopteri; Salmoniformes; Salmonidae. The record is from RNAcentral.
GUACACAAAUACAGAAUGAAUCCUACUUAAUUACCUGACUUUUAUUUUGAGACAACUUCUCCAUGGGCUUUAAACGGGCACCUGGCUCACAAAUGCAAUCAACUUUCAGCCCGUGCAAAACAUGCCCCCGGGCCAGAUUAAUCAAAUCCCAACAAACUUGAAAGACAAUCAUUACUGGAAACCGUGUUGAUUUAUAACAUUGUGUGAUGAGACAUUCUUUUAGUUUUUUUAACAUCUCCCUACAUGCUACCUCUCUCUCCCUCUAUUUCUCAUUUACAGGCCUGCAAUAUUAAAGAAUGGCGUGCCUAUGAAGGAGCUUGACCCUCUCAUGCAGUGAUGACCACGCGAAUGUGGGCCUGUGGAGGGAGGCCGCCCUGGAAGAGCUCGGUCUUAGCCAUCACCCAUCUCAAGGUUAGAGACAAAUAGUAUGAGGUGAAGGCCUCAUCCACUAACUACACGACAGUAAUGCACAGAAGAGAAGCAGGAAUUGUUCCUUGAAGACAGUAUCAGGGUGCAGGCCGGGGCAUUGAAAAUAAUCUACCUCGCAGGGGUGUCUAAAUCAAUCCCUGUGGGGGUUUGGAAUGGUGAUGCGGAGUACGUUUGUUUAAGGGCAAAGGGCGGGAUCCAGAUGCAGACAUGGGAGGCAGACGGUUCGAGAUACCAGGGUAGCGUCCAUGAAACUCAUCUUGCCAGUUGAAUAGGUUUCCGGUGUAUCUGACUCACCCGUCAUUGUCUGAUUCUCUAAGAAGCUUGGUGGCCUCGGAUCCUCUCGAAAAAACAGCCUUCGGGGACUUCCGGAUUCAUUCGGAGGUAAGUGAGCCGUAGCGGAUGGACGAGUGUGACCUAGGCCAGACCUCCUCUCACUCCUGCAUUCCCAUAGACGUCUAUCAAUCCUAAUGGUGAGGGCGAUGACGGAAUCGAGGUCCACCGGUAACUCCUGAGCAGCUAGCUCAUAUUUUAUCACCUCUGAUAAUCCGUGAAGGAAGGUAUCAAAUAGGGACUCCGGAUUCCAGGCACUCUCGGUGGGCAACGUGGGAAAGUCUACAGCGUAGUCUGCCACACUACGGGAGUCUUGACGUAAUUCAAGUAGUUUUUGGGCCUCCUCUCUCCCGGAUACCGGAAAAUC